GACAAACGCUGGCGGCAUGCCUAACACAUGCAAGUCGAACGGACAGAGCAGGGAAGCUUUUCGGAGUGGAACCGGACGGUUAGGGGCGGCUGGGUGAGUAACGCGUUGGCGACCUACCUUGUAAAGGGGCGUACCCUCAAGAAAUCUACGCUAAUACCCCAUAAUAACCUUGCUUCCCAUGAAGUAGGGAGGAAAGGAGGCCUUGGCGCUGUCGAUACAUGAUGGGUCCGCGUCGGAUUAGCUAGUUGGUGGGGUAAAGGCCCACCAAGGCGACGAUCGGUAACUGGCCUGAGAGGAUGAUAGGCCACAUUGGAACUGAGACACGGUCCAAACUCCUACGGGAGGCAGCAGGGGGGAAUAUUGGACAAUGGGCGAAAGCCUGAUGCAGCAAUGCGGCGUGGGUGAAGAAGGUCUUCGGAUUGUAAAGCACUUUAAGUUGGGAGGAAGGGGAGUAAGUGAAUACCUUGCUGUUUUGACGUUAGAUACAGAAUAAGCCCCGGCUAACUUCGUG
This 511-nucleotide ribosomal RNA is filed under the name uncultured bacterium. RNAcentral's name for it is "partial 16S ribosomal RNA". It matches the Rfam family "Bacterial small subunit ribosomal RNA", at positions 28 to 507 of the family's 1533-position model. The record is from RNAcentral.